Molecule: ribosomal RNA, 517 nt
Filed under: Neodialineura striatithorax
Lineage: Eukaryota; Metazoa; Arthropoda; Insecta; Diptera; Therevidae
Description: partial 16S ribosomal RNA
Rfam family: Bacterial large subunit ribosomal RNA
Source: RNAcentral
AAAAACAUGUCCUUUAGAGUUUAAUUUAAGGUCUAACCUGCCCACUGAAUUAAAUGGCCGCAGUAUUUUAACUGUGCAAAGGUAGCAUAAUCAUUAGUCUUUUAAUUGAAGGCUUGUAUGAAUGGUUGGACGAGAUAUUAACUGUUUCAUAUAAAUUUAUAGAAUUUUAUUUUUUAGUCAAAAAGCUAAAAUUUUUUUAAAAGACGAGAAGACCCUAUAGAUCUUUAUAGUUUAUAAUUUAUAGUUAUAUAGAUUAUUUAAAUUAUAAUUUUAUAAAUUAUUUUGUUGGGGUGACAUUAAAAUUUAAUUAACUUUUAAUAAAUUUUUACAUUGAUUUAUGGAUAAUUGAUCCACUAUUAGUGAUUAUAAAAUUAAGUUACCUUAGGGAUAACAGCGUAAUUUUUUUGAAGAGUUCAUAUCGAUAAAAAAGAUUGCGACCUCGAUGUUGGAUUAAGAUAUAAUUUUGGGUGCAGCAAUUCAAAUAUUAAGUCUGUUCGACUUUUAAUUUCUUACAUGA